AUGAACAGGUCACCCUCGUACACUGCAGUCCCGAGCGCGCCGCCUACCUCCGCCUGACGACCGCUCGCUACGUGGUGUCGGCC
RNAcentral lists this small RNA (83 nucleotides) under Xanthomonas phaseoli pv. phaseoli. RNAcentral describes it as "Xanthomonas axonopodis pv. phaseoli sX9". It matches the Rfam family "Xanthomonas sRNA sX9". The record is from RNAcentral. Lineage: Bacteria; Pseudomonadati; Pseudomonadota; Gammaproteobacteria; Lysobacterales; Lysobacteraceae.